RNAcentral lists this ribosomal RNA (292 nucleotides) under uncultured bacterium. RNAcentral's name for it is "partial 16S ribosomal RNA". It matches the Rfam family "Bacterial small subunit ribosomal RNA", at positions 334 to 623 of the family's 1533-position model. The record is from RNAcentral.
CUUUCCUACGGGAGGCAGCAGUGAGGAAUAUUGGUCGAUGGGCGCGAGCCUGAACCAGCCAAGUAGCGUGAAGGAUGACUGCCCUACGGGUUGUAAACUUCUUUUAUAAAGGAAUAAAGUGAGGCACGCGCGCCUUUUUGUAUGUACUUUAUGAAUAAGGAUCGGCUAACUCCGUGCCAGCAGCAGCGGUAAUACGGUGGAUCCGAGCGUUAUCCGGAUUUAUUGGGUUUAAAGGGAGCGUAGAUGGGUUGUUAAGUCAGUUGUGAAAGUUUGCGGCUCAACCGUAAAAUUG